This 206-nucleotide ribosomal RNA is filed under the name uncultured Rhodoferax sp. RNAcentral's name for it is "partial 16S ribosomal RNA". It matches the Rfam family "Bacterial small subunit ribosomal RNA", at positions 1179 to 1382 of the family's 1533-position model. The record is from RNAcentral. Lineage: Bacteria; Pseudomonadati; Pseudomonadota; Betaproteobacteria; Burkholderiales; Comamonadaceae.
AUGACGUCAAGUCCUCAUGGCCCUUAUAGGUGGGGCUACACACGUCAUACAAUGGCUGGUACAAAGGGUUGCCAACCCGCGAGGGGGAGCCAAUCCCAAUAAAGCCAGUCGUAGUCCGGAUCGUAGUCUGCAACUCGACUACGUGAAGUCGGAAUCGCUAGUAAUCGUGGAUCAGAAUGUCACGGUGAAUACGUUCCCGGGUCGUU